AGAUGCCAGGAUUGAGAAUAAAUACAAUUGAUCUCCAUAUACAUAUCAAAGUCUCCCGACUCUCCUCUCUCUGCUUGAUUCCCCAGUAAAAAGCGAUGGCAGACGCUCUCGCUGCUCUGAGGUCUUUAAUGUCUUCUCACUCUCCUCCUCUCCAUGCUUUGCUCGUUCCUUCCGAAGAUUAUCAUCAGAGCGAAUAUGUAUCUGCACGGGACAAGAGGCGCGAUUUUGUCUCUGGAUUCACCGGAAGUGCUGGACUAGCGCUCAUAACAAUGAACGAAGCACUUCUGUGGACGGAUGGACGCUACUUCUUGCAGGCAGCUCAGCAGCUUAGUGAGCAGUGGAAGCUCAUGCGUAUGGGAGAAGACCCUGCAGUUGCUAUUUGGAUGGCAGAUAAUAUACCAAAGGAUGCAGCUAUUGGUGUUGAUCCAUGGUGUAUAUCAGUAGAUACUGCACAGAAGUGGGAGCGUGCUUUUGCUAAGAAACAACAGAAGUUGGUUCAAACAACUAAAAACUUGGUAGACGAAGUUUGGAAAAAUCAGCCACCUGCCGAAACAAAUCCUGUGAUCGUGCAUCCAUUAGAAUUUGCUGGUCGCACUGUUGCAGAUAAGUUGAAAAAAUUGAGAGAAAAGCUUGCAAAGGAAAAAUCUCGUGCUAUGAUAAUAACGGCACUUGAUGAAGUUGCCUGGUUGUAUAAUGUCCGCGGCACAGAUGUAUCAUAUAGCCCGGUUGUUCAUGCAUUUGCUAUUGUGACAUUAGACUCGGCCUUCUUCUAUGUGGAUAAAAGAAAGCUGUCAUCUGAGGCAAACUCUUACAUGAAGGAAAAUGGAAUUUUAGUACGGGAUUAUGGUGAAGUUAGCUCAGAUGCAGUCUUGCUUGCGUCUGAUCAACUCACUGCUUCCUCAUCUGACAAAACUCCAACCGGAUUUUCAAGGAACACAGAGAGUAAUGAUCGCAAGGCUACAGGAAAUGGUGCCAUUCCAGCUGCAGAGUUUGUGAAUGACCUCAUUUGGGUUGACCCUUGUGCAUGCUGCUUUGCUUUGUACUCAAAACUGAAUGCUGAUAAAGUCCUCCUAAAGCAGUCACCUUUGGCCCUUGAGAAAGCCCUAAAGAAUCCUGUUGAGAUGGAAGGAUUGAAGAAGGCCCACAUUCGGGAUGGGGCAGCUGUCGUGCAGUAUCUCGCCUGGCUGGAUAAGCAGAUGCAGGAAAUUUAUGGGGCGUCCGGUUACUUUGCAGAGGCUGAGAGUUUGAGCAAGAACAAAUUAAAGGAUACCACAAGACUUACAGAAGUUUCUGCAAGCGAUAAGCUAGAGGAGUUCCGGGCAUCUAAAGAGAAUUUUAGAGGGCUGAGUUUUCCAACUAUUUCAUCUGUUGGUUCAAAUGCAGCCAUUAUUCAUUAUUCACCCGAGGCAGAAACAUGUGCUGAACUUGAUCCAGAUAAAAUUUACCUAUGUGAUUCAGGAGCACAGUAUCUGGAUGGAACAACUGAUAUUACACGGACUGUUCAUUUUGGAAAACCUACUCCACAUGAGAAAGCAUGUUAUACUGCGGUUCUCAAAGGACAUAUUUCAUUGGGUGAUGCACGGUUUCCCAAUGGAACAAAUGGGUAUGCUCUUGACAUUCUUGCUCGAACUCCUUUAUGGAAGUAUGGGCUCGACUAUAGGCAUGGUACUGGUCAUGGUAUUGGGUCUUACUUAAAUGUCCAUGAAGGACCUCAUCAAAUUAGUUUCAGACCAUCAGCUCAAAAUGUGCCACUGCAAGUUUCAAUGACUGUCACAGAUGAACCUGGUUAUUACGAGGAUGGAAAAUUUGGUAUUAGAUUGGAGAAUGUGCUUAUUGUCAAGGAGGGCAAUACUAAGUUCAACUUUGGCGACAAGGGUUACUUGACAUUUGAGCAUAUAACUUGGGCACCAUAUCAGAAAAAAUUGAUUGAUGUGAGCCUUCUGGCGCCCGAAGAAAUCCAAUGGUUGAAUGACUACCACUCUAAAUGCUCGGAUAUCCUUGCUCCUUACUUGAAUCAAUCUGAAGCGGAAUGGCUGAAGAAGGCUACUGAACCCGUUCCAGCGUGAGGCGUUCCUCUCUCUCGAGGUUUAGUAUGCAGUGUUCUAUCUGUUCCAUGUAUAAUGCUCUUAACUCAAUAAGGUUUAUUAAUUUCAGCCCACAGCACUCAUGCAUCAGAAGUCUACACGCUUAUUAAACGUCUUUAUUACUGCAUAAAAAAAGAAAAUAGUCCAACUAAAUGGGUAAAGGUAGUAAACAGAAAAAGAAAAAAGACAAAGGUUAGCUAGUUCGGCCUCCUGAUAAAGAAUCCUUUGAGCUUCAAUGAUUUCCUUAGCUGUCGAAAGAUGAAGCCAAGCUCAAGUAGCAUGAUUCAGAACUUAUAUUCAGUAGGUUAGGUAAAUUACUCCUAAAUUGUAAGUUAUAGGUUUAUUUUAAUGUGACUCUAUUCGUCGUUUCUGGAUUGUCGCUAACUGUUUACUGUUAUGUCCUCAUCUUUUUAGUCACGUGAAAAAGAGCCAAUUAUUGUCA
Nicotiana tabacum (common tobacco) is the source of this 2526-nucleotide non-coding RNA. NCBI's taxonomy places the organism in Eukaryota, Viridiplantae, Streptophyta, Magnoliopsida, Solanales, Solanaceae. The record is from RefSeq and is a predicted model, not a curated record.